Molecule: ribosomal RNA, 467 nt
Filed under: uncultured bacterium
Lineage: Bacteria
Description: partial 16S ribosomal RNA
Rfam family: Bacterial small subunit ribosomal RNA
Source: RNAcentral
GACGAACGCUGGCGGCGUGCUUAACACAUGCAAGUCGAACGGAAAGGCCCUGCUUUUGUGGGGUGCUCGAGUGGCGAACGGGUGAGUAACACGUGAGUAACCUGCCCUUGACUUUGGGAUAACUUCAGGAAACUGGGGCUAAUACCGGAUAGGAGCUCCUGCUGCAUGGUGGGGGUUGGAAAGUUUCGGCGGUUGGGGAUGGACUCGCGGCUUAUCAGCUUGUUGGUGGGGUAGUGGCUUACCAAGGCUUUGACGGGUAGCCGGCCUGAGAGGGUGACCGGCCACAUUGGGACUGAGAUACGGCCCAGACUCCUACGGGGGGCAGCAGUGGGGAAUAUUGCACAAUGGGCGGAAGCCUGAUGCAGCAACGCCGCGUGCGGGAGGACGGCCUUCGGGUUGUAAACCGCUUUCGCCUGUGACGAAGCGUGAGUGACGGUAAUGGGUAAAGAAGCACCGGCUAACUACGU